GGAUGUGAGGAUGAUCUGGCUGUGACAUCGGUCAGCCCAUUGAUGGCCAGGGUUGAUUCGGCUGAUCUGGCUGGCUAGGCGGGUGUCCCCUUCCUCCCUCACCACUCCAUGUGCGUCCCUCCUGAAGCUGCGCACUCGGUCCAAGAGGAUGACCUUCCCCUAUAGAGGAAGACCGUUCUUCAGUCAAGGGUAUACGAGUAGCUGCACUCCCCUGCUAGAACCUCCAAACAAGCUCUCAAGAACCUGUCACUUAGACUGACAUUUUCAUAAGAAGCCAAUAAUAGGAUGGAACUUUCUAGGUUGCAGCUAUUAGGCUAUGGCCGCUGCUGUCCUCC
Urocitellus parryii (Arctic ground squirrel) is the source of this 335-nucleotide unclassified non-coding RNA. Its record names the gene 7SK. It matches the Rfam family "7SK RNA". Rfam says of the family: 7SK was discovered as an abundant small nuclear RNA in the mid-70s but a possible function has only recently been suggested. Two independent studies have found that 7SK RNA binds the CDK9/cyclin T complex (known as elongation factor P-TEFb). The record is from Ensembl. NCBI's taxonomy places the organism in Eukaryota, Metazoa, Chordata, Mammalia, Rodentia, Sciuridae.